UACGAGGGGAGCUAGCGUUGUUCGGAAUUACUGGGCGUAAAGGGCGCGUAGGCGGUUCUGUAAGUCAGAUGUGAAAGCCCCGGGCUUAACCUGGGAGGUGCAUUUGAAACUGCAGGGCUUGAGAUCGAGAGAGGAAAGUGGAAUUACGAGUGUAGAGGUGAAAUUCGUAGAUAUUCGUAAGAACACCAGUGGCGAAGGCGACUUUCUGGCUCGAUACUGACGCUAAGGCGCGAAAGCGUGGGGAGCAAACAGG
RNAcentral lists this ribosomal RNA (253 nucleotides) under uncultured prokaryote. RNAcentral's name for it is "partial 16S ribosomal RNA". It matches the Rfam family "Bacterial small subunit ribosomal RNA", at positions 524 to 776 of the family's 1533-position model. The record is from RNAcentral.